RNAcentral lists this ribosomal RNA (1164 nucleotides) under Cortinarius hemitrichus. Its description in RNAcentral is "eukaryotic LSU rRNA". The stretch from base 488 to 1164 matches the Rfam family "Eukaryotic large subunit ribosomal RNA", at positions 1 to 659 of the family's 3401-position model. The record is from RNAcentral. Lineage: Eukaryota; Fungi; Basidiomycota; Agaricomycetes; Agaricales; Cortinariaceae.
AGGAUCAUUAUUGAAAUAAACCUGAUGGGUUGUUGCUGGCUCUCUAGGGAGCAUGUGCACGCCUUGUCAUCUUUAUAUUUUGCUUCAUUUACCCCCCAAUGUAUGUCAAUAGAAUGUUGUGCCUAUAAUAAUAUAUACAACUUUCAGCAACGGAUCUCUUGGCUCUCGCAUCGAUGAAGAACGCAGCGAAAUGCGAUAAGUAAUGUGAAUUGCAGAAUUCAGUGAAUCAUCGAAUCUUUGAACGCACCUUGCGCUCCUUGGUAUUCCGAGGAGCAUGCCUGUUUGAGUGUCAUUAAUAUAUAUAUCAAACCUUCUCUUUGUUGAGCGGUUUUGGAUGUGGGGGUUUGCUGGCCUCUUAAAAAGGUUCAGCUCCUCUGAAAUGCAUUAGCAGAACAAACCUGUUCAUUGGUGUGAUAACUAUCUACGCUAUUGAAUGUAAGGGGCAGUUCAGCUCUCUAAUGGUCCUCGGACAAUUCAUCCAUUAAUGUGACCUCAAAUCAGGUAGGACUACCCGCUGAACUUAAGCAUAUCAAUAAGCGGAGGAAAAGAAACUAACAAGGAUUCCCCUAGUAACUGCGAGUGAAGCGGGAAAAGCUCAAAUUUAAAAUCUGGCGGUCUUUUGGCUGUCCGAGUUGUAAUCUAGAGAAGUGUUAUCCGCGCUGGACCGUGUACAAGUCUCCUGGAAUGGAGCAUCAUAGAGGGUGAGAAUCCCGUCUUUGACAUGGACUACCAGGGCUUUGUGAUGCGCUCUCAAAGAGUCGAGUUGUUUGGGAAUGCAGCUCAAAAUGGGUGGUAAAUUCCAUCUAAAGCUAAAUAUUGGCGAGAGACCGAUAGCGAACAAGUACCGUGAGGGAAAGAUGAAAAGAACUUUGGAAAGAGAGUUAAACAGUACGUGAAAUUGCUGAAAGGGAAACGCUUGAAGUCAGUCGCGUUGUCCAGGGAUCAACCUUGCUUUUGCUUGGUGCACUUUCUGGUUUGACGGGUCAGCAUCAAUUUUGACCAUUGGAAAAAGGCUAGGGGAAUGUGGCAUCCUUGGAUGUGUUAUAGCCCUUGGUCACAUACAAUGGUUGGGAUUGAGGAACUCAGCACGCCGCAAGGCCGGGUUUUAAACCACGUACGUGCUUAGGAUGCUGGCAAUAUGGCUUUAAUCGACCCGUCUUGAAA